This 644-nucleotide long non-coding RNA is filed under the name Olea europaea (common olive). Its description in RNAcentral is "long non-coding RNA (OEUR_LNC006663)". Lineage: Eukaryota; Viridiplantae; Streptophyta; Magnoliopsida; Lamiales; Oleaceae. The record is from RNAcentral.
AAAUUUUUAGGAAAUGCAAUGCGACCGGUGAUUCGGUUUUGAUGAGAUUAUUAUUUAAUACUCUGUUUUUGGUAUUUCAAGUUUGAAGACAAAGGGGAUGGUGCCCUGUUUCUGCUGUCCCUUUUGCUCCGCUAAAAAUUUGCAGUUUUGAAAGGAAGAAUAAAAAUUGUCAGUUUCCAUAUCAUAUCAGAAUUUCAAAUUGUCUGUUUCCAUAUCAUAUCAGAGUUUUAAACAUCAGAUCACACACCAUAAAUUACAAUAACAAAUAAGCUGUAGAAAACAGAGGGACGAACAAAAGUCAGGCUGGAGCUGCAAGAAAAGCCAACAGCCUUACAUAAUUAUUCAAACAUAUAGGCUGAACAGCAUAACUGGAUAGAGAGACCAUAGUAUAGUUAGGAAACUAUGAAACCUGCUCCAUGCAUUUAUCAUGGUCAAGAAACAGACGGGAACCAACUUUAAAAACACGCUUUAGUAUUAGAAAGAGAGAUGCAAAAAUUUGGCGCUUGAUCGAUCCUCGGACUGGAAUCACAAAAGGGUACUUUUUGAUUUUGUUGGGCUGGUCAGAAAAGGGAUUCCUGUUCUUUUGCUGCUCCAUUCUGGGUACGGAAUAUGGAUUUCUAGAGGGAGGAGGAGCUGGGGGAGUU